Molecule: ribosomal RNA, 496 nt
Filed under: uncultured bacterium
Lineage: Bacteria
Description: partial 16S ribosomal RNA
Rfam family: Bacterial small subunit ribosomal RNA
Source: RNAcentral
AUGAACGCUGGCGGCGUGCCUCAUACCUGCAAGUCGCGCGAACAGACGAGGAGCUUGCUCCUCUGACGUUAGCGGCGGACGGGUGAGUAACACGUGGAUAACCUACCUAUAAGACUGGGAUAACUUCGGGAAACCGGAGCUAAUACCGGAUAAUAUAUUGAACCGCAUGGUUCAAUAGUGAAAGACGGUUUUGCUGUCACUUAUAGAUGGAUCCGCGCCGCAUUAGCUAGUUGGUAAGGUAACGGCUUACCAAGGCAACGAUGCGUAGCCGACCUGAGAGGGUGAUCGGCCACACUGGAACUGAGACACGGUCCAGACUCCUACGGGAGGCAGCAGUAGGGAAUCUUCCGCAAUGGGCGAAAGCUUGACGGAGCAACGCCGCGUGAGUGAUGAAGGUCUUCGGAUCGUAAAACUCUGUUAUUAGGGAAGAACAAAUGUGUAAGUAACUAUGCACGUCUUGACGGUACCUAAUCAGAAAGCCACGGCUAACUACGUG